Molecule: long non-coding RNA, 1400 nt
Organism: Homo sapiens (human)
Lineage: Eukaryota; Metazoa; Chordata; Mammalia; Primates; Hominidae
Source: Ensembl
ACUCGAACUGUUGGGGAGCUAGUUACUGGUAGAAAGGCCCCAAGGCCGGGCUUCGGUGGCUGCAGUAGACUGGAUCUGGAUCUCUAAAUGGCAAUCUAUUGACAUGGCUGCCAGCGGUACUUGUGUGUAUGCGAGUAGCACUAGAAAUGCCAUAACAAUGGAAUCAUAUGUCCACAGUUCUACCUCUUUGAGCCAUGCAAUUUAAGGUUGAAGACCUGAAAACUGUGACCCCUGUUGCCUAGCAACUGAGAAGCUCAGCCUCAACUCCGGGUGGGGGAGAUGAUGGAGAAAGUAUUCUAGCUCCCAAUCCAAGAAUGGAGGCAUAUGGAAGUGGAUGAAGCUAAACUAUGGUAUCGGAAACUGACCCUGAGUGAAGAAUCUGUGUUACUGUUGAGGCUCUGCCCUGAGGAUCUCUGUGACAUGGCAGAGCUCACCGCGUCCCCUGAUGCUUCUUCAUCUGUGGGAGUCUGUGAUGGGGUACUGCAUUUUGAUAAAUUGAAGGUUUGUGGAACGCUGCAUUGAGCAAGUCUAUUGGUACCAUUUUCCAACAGCAUGUGCUCACUUCAUGUCUCUGUGCCACAUUUGUGCUCCCAAAGCUUGCUGGCACAUAAACAUGAAUGAAUGAACAAUGUAGAAUUCACUCAAGAAAUUUCAAGGAGAGAGAGGAGGAGAUUUACAUCACACAGCAAACAACCUAAUAAAUCUGUUAAACGCCAUGCAUGUGAAUAGGCGUUUUCCUCUUUUUGACCCUUUCUUUCCACAUAGAACUCAGUGCUCCUUCCUCGUCCUCCGUUACAGUAUUUAUCGCCUUCCUUCUUCCACGCCGGGGAGCAGUCGAGGCUUGUGUUCUUCAGCGGACUUGCCAAAUCAUCCCCUCCAGCAUGCUGCUCUCUCCCUUCCACAGAUCAUCUGUUAAGAAAAUACAUUUUUCAUGUCGUUAAUUUACAUAUACAUGUGCAUUAUAUAUAUGUUUAUACAAUGAGAGAUUGUUAGGAAAAUCACUACCACAUAUACAUGCAUUAUAUAUAUUACAUAUACAUACAUAUGCAUUAUAUAUAUACCUGCACACACAUGCAUAUGGAAAAUUGUUAGGAAAAACAGCACAGUGGUAGUGUUAGUGCUGGUUGUCUUUCGGUGGUGAGAUUAUACAUUUUUUUCUAUAAUUUUCUGUAUUUUCCUAAUUUUCUGUGAUCCAUAUAUGUUUUUAAUCAUCAAAAGAUGUUGAAAUUUAAACCAUGUUCUACGUACAUUUUACAUCCCCAUUUAAAGCUUUCUCAUGGUUCUCCAUGGCCUGCAGGAUGAUGCUUGAUGUUCAGCUUAAGAGCUUCCUCUCCUCACUUCCCACCCCUCUGUCACUUGUAGCUCAUGCCCUAAUAAUACCAGAGUGUUUCCUGUGCACA